UUCCAACCCGCUAGUUUUUGCAUGUGCAGA
RNAcentral lists this non-coding RNA (30 nucleotides) under Mus musculus (house mouse). The record is from RNAcentral. Lineage: Eukaryota; Metazoa; Chordata; Mammalia; Rodentia; Muridae.